This 467-nucleotide ribosomal RNA is filed under the name uncultured bacterium. RNAcentral's name for it is "partial 16S ribosomal RNA". It matches the Rfam family "Bacterial small subunit ribosomal RNA", at positions 27 to 507 of the family's 1533-position model. The record is from RNAcentral.
GGAUGAACGCUGGCGGCGUGCUUAACACAUGCAAGUCGAACGAUGAAGCCCAGCUUGCUGGGUGGAUUAGUGGCGAACGGGUGAGUAACACGUGAGUAACCUGCCCUUAACUCUGGGAUAAGCCUGGGAAACUGGGUCUAAUACCGGAUAGGAGCGUCCACCGCAUGGUGGGUGUUGGAAAGAUUUAUCGGUUUUGGAUGGACUCGCGGCCUAUCAGCUUGUUGGUGAGGUAAUGGCUCACCAAGGCGACGACGGGUAGCCGGCCUGAGAGGGUGACCGGCCACACUGGGACUGAGACACGGCCCAGACUCCUACGGGAGGCAGCAGUGGGGAAUAUUGCACAAUGGGCGAAAGCCUGAUGCAGCGACGCCGCGUGAGGGAUGACGGCCUUCGGGUUGUAAACCUCUUUCAGUAGGGAAGAAGCGAAAGUGACGGUACCUGCAGAAGAAGCACCGGCUAACUACGUG